RNAcentral lists this long non-coding RNA (1009 nucleotides) under Salmo salar (Atlantic salmon). RNAcentral describes it as "lncRNA (ENSSSAG00000082391.1)". Lineage: Eukaryota; Metazoa; Chordata; Actinopteri; Salmoniformes; Salmonidae. The record is from RNAcentral.
GUUAGGGAUUGAACUCAGGUGUGGACAUGAAGCUAGGGUUAGGGUUGAACUAGGGUGUGGACAUGAAGCUAGGGUUAGGGUUGAAUUAGGGUGUGGACAUGAAGCUAGGGUUAGAGUUGAACUAGGAUGUGGACAUGAGGCUAGGGUUAGGGUUGAGGCUAGGGUUAGGGUUGAAAUAGGGUGUGGACAUGAGGCUAGGGUUAGGGUUGAAAUAGGGUGUGGACAUGAAGCUAGGUUUAUGGUUGAGGCUAGGGUGUGGACAUGAAGCUAGGUUUGUGUUGAGGCUAGAUUUAGGGUUGAACUAGGGUGUGGACAUGAAGCUAGGGUUAGAGUUGAACUAGGAUGUGGACAUGAAGCUAGGGUUAGAGUUGAGGCUAGGGUUAGGCUUGAACUCAGGUGUGGACAUGAAGCUAGGGUUAGGGUUGAACUAGGGUGUGGACAUGAGGCUAGGGUUAGGGUUGAACUAGGGUGUGGACAUGAAGCUAGGGUUAGGGUUGAACUAGUGUGUGGACAUGAAGCUAGGGUUAGGGUUGAGGCUAGGGUUAGGUUUGAACUUAGGUGUGGACAUGAAGCUAGGGUUAGGGUUGAACUAGUGUGUGGACAUGAAGCUAGGGUUAGGGUUGAGGCUAGGGUUAGGGUUGAACUAGGGUGUGGACAUGAAGCUAGGGUUAGGGUUGAACUAGGGUGUGGACAUGAAGCUAGGGUUAGGGUUGAACUAGGGUGUGGACAUGAAGCUAGGCUUAGGGUUGAGGUUAGGGUUGAACUAGGGUGUGGACAUGAAGCUAGGUUUAUGGUUGAGGCUAGGGUGUGGACAUGAAGCUAGGCUUAGUGUUGAGGCUAGGUUUAGGGUUGAACUAGGGAUGUGGACAUGAAGCUAGGGUUAGUGUUACUACUGUUACCGAAAAUACUUGCCCAACAGAAACUGUAAGUAUUGAUUACAUUCCUACACUCCUUGUUGAUAAUGACGACUCAUUUCCAUCACAUCUACUGUUGCAUGCUGGAUUAUUUG